Molecule: long non-coding RNA, 250 nt
Organism: Octopus sinensis (East Asian common octopus)
Lineage: Eukaryota; Metazoa; Mollusca; Cephalopoda; Octopoda; Octopodidae
Exons: 3
Source: RefSeq, a predicted model, not a curated record
UGUAUAUAUAUAUAUGUAUGUGUGCGUGUAUGUUUGUGUGUCUGUGUUUGUCCCAUCCAGCAUCGCUUGACAACCGAUGCUGGUGUGUUUAUGUCCCCAUCACUUGGCGGUUUGGCAGAGGAGACCGAUGGAGUAGGUGCUGGGCUUGCAAGGAGUGGGUCCCGGGGUCGAGUUGUUCGAUUAAAGGCGGUGCUCCAGCAUAGCCGCAGUCAAAUGACUGAAACAAGUAAAAGAAUAAAAUAAUUGUUGA